GGACGCGGAGGAGAAGGAAAGUCGCUCAAGCAGUGGACAGAACGGAGAAAGCGACUUCGGGUCUGCUGGAGUUUGCUGGAGGUGCGCUCCAGACUCUGUUUGCCUGUGUAUCACCAACAGAGGCUGCAGAACAGCAAAGAUUGCUGUCUGUACCUUCCUCUGGAAGCUUCAUCCCAGAGGGGCACCUGCGAGACGCCAGCCGGAGCUCUCCUCUAUGAGUGAAUGAAGGAGGGAAGAAAGGAGAGGCAGAGAGAAUAUGGAUUUCCUCAUGGUUGUGAUUCCUCUUCACUCUUUUGAAUUUGGAAGGACGGCAUACACAUCUGAAAAACAGUAAGUAAUGUGUGAUUUAUUUUUCAAUUACUGUUACUAAUUAAUUGUAAUAAAGCUGAAAUUUGAUUACUGGAGGAGUUUGAAAUCAUCAUGCAUGCCUUGUAGGAAAAUGGGUUUUGUGCAACAUUUGCAUUAUUUGGUGUGAAUUACCUUUGGUUUGAUUUAACUGUUUAUCACACAAUUACUGUUGUGAUAAUGAAUGUGUUAUUCACUAUUGCUAAAUUUACCCAGUAUAUUCUG
This 570-nucleotide small RNA is filed under the name Pongo abelii (Sumatran orangutan). RNAcentral describes it as "sense overlapping". The record is from RNAcentral. Lineage: Eukaryota; Metazoa; Chordata; Mammalia; Primates; Hominidae.